UGUUUCUACCCUUAGUCUUAAUCAAGAUUGGCUACAGACUGACUGCAUCCUAAUUGUUAAGAGCUCCUGUACAUUUAACACAUUUUUGUAGACCACAGGGAAUCAAGUAUAAAAUAAGCAUUUUCCAACUCAUGCACCCAGUAGGGCAGAGGAAGGCAGAAGGGGAACUAAGGAGAGAUCUCUGAAAAUCUGCAGUUGAUGCCUCGUGUUACAUGAUGCUAUAUCAGAUGAAGGUGUUAGAGGCAGAAAAAAAGAUUACUAUACAAUGUGCUGACAGAAGCAGAUUGGUCAGAAAGAUUAAAAAUCCAGGACUGGAUGAGAAGGAUAAUCCCAGAACCCUGAAUGCAGCUCACCAUUGCAGAUUAAGGCAGAAAUUGGAUGGAAAAGACUUAUGGGUAAACAUAUGCAAACAUGAGAUGAGCUAGAAGCAGAUAUCCACCCAUUCCUAGUUCUGAGAGCUACAGAGAAAAGUUAUUCUGUGGAAAACAUGAAUAGCAUCUAAGCUGGUGUUUUUCAGCACUAGGAUGUUGAUGCCAGAAAUUUGGAUAAACACCAACUUAAAUUGCCCUGGACAUUUCAACUGAAGAAUCUAUCCCUUGCUGUAGAUUGUUGUAUAAGAGAGCUAUCCAGUCACAAACACCAACCUUGUGUAUAAGAGACAAUUUCUGUAACUAGAAAGGCCAAAUGUCAGAUGAAGACAACUGAUGUUUAUGAGAACCCAUUCAUCCAAGAUUUAUGCCUGAGGUUCUAGAUAAAUUCCACAGGAUGAUUCAUAUUUGUGUGGUAUAGCAUGGACACCACAGAAUUCUGUGACAACUCAGAAUCUUAUAAUUGCAGGCUUGCCUGGUCACCUGUGACAUGUAAAACCUGCCUCCAAUCACUGACACAGAGGCAGUAACUAAAAUAAUAUUAUUCAUAAAAAAAUAUUUCAAAGAAUCAUAGAAUAGUAGCGUUGGAAGGGCUUAUAAGGCAAUAGAGUCCAACCCCCUGCUCAACACAGCAACCAAUUUAAAGCAUCCCUGACAGGUAGCUGUUCAGAUGCCUCUGGAAAGACCUCCAGUCUUGGAGAGCCCACCACCUCCCUACAGUAUUGGUUUGUUUAUUUAUUUAUUUUAUUAUUUUAUUUAUAUCCGCUCUAACAGUUAGGAAGUUUUUCCAUGUUCAGCCAAAAUCUGGCUUCCUGUCACUUGAGCCUGUUAUUCAAAGUCCUGCACUCUGGGACAGUCCACCACACCUGCUUCUUUGGACUAAAAACAAAUACAACAUUGAUAACAGAUGGACCUUACAAGAACUUUUGAAUAUCGCUGCAUUUGGCUACAUAAUUUUCUACAGUAUCAAUGACAAUUAUCAGCAGCAUUGAGAUAUGCUAGUUGGCAAGAGUAAAGAGGAAGUGACAAGAACCAGUGGGGGAGACCACCUGGAGAAGUCAGUAGCCAUUUAUUUUAAUGCUAAUUUCUACAUUUUAACUAGAAUCCUACAGGUAUAUGCUUCUUUUCUCACAACUCAAGGAACAGGUUUUUCAUUUAACUAUUACCACAUACCAGCAGAAUAACCAAAUCUGCUGUGGUACAAUUUCUGGAUGACCUCUUUGAACAAAACUACAAUUAUGCUUUCAAAAUCUCAAAUCACUUUCCUCAUGCCAUAACUAAACAUGCAACAAUGUUGUGCUUGACCUGUUGUGUUACAUACAUGUUUGUUAUCAUGCCUCCUGAAGGUUUGCCACAAUCUGUAGGGACAUCAUUGUAACCAGGAGCAUCACCACAGGCUCAAUCCAGAAGCAACCUGGAAGACAGUGUCUUCUGGUGGCCAGCCAUGUGUACAUUGCAGUAAAGGCACUCACUGCAUAGACAGCUCAAUCCUCCCACCUUCUCACCCACCAAAUACUCUUGUUCCAAACAGAGGAAGCAACGCAGUAACAGCUUAUUAACUCCAGGUCACCCACAAGUAUUUUAUCAAACAGCAAAUCAUUUCAGCAUAAAUCAUUCAGGCUGCAAUGUUCUUGCAAUGCCAUGUUUUAAACGUAACAGACGAGGAGAGAGCAGGGCAAAUGUUUGCCAAGCAGUGUUCAAGGAAAGCCAUUUACAUCAAGAAGGUGAAAAUGAGUUGCUAUCCUGUUUCUUAAGUAUGCGCUCUGCUGCAGUACGUUUAAGGUUGGAAACAGGGGAGAAAAAGAGAGCAAAUUGUACAAGUAUGGAUCCCACAAAGGGAUUCACCAAGAAUAAAUGGAAGUAGAAGGAUGACCUCCCAUAACAGAGGUUAUUUGUGUCCUCCUUCCACAAGUCAAGCUCUUCACAACAACCCUGU
Rhineura floridana is the source of this 2304-nucleotide long non-coding RNA. RefSeq lists it as uncharacterized. The record is from RefSeq and is a predicted model, not a curated record. Lineage: Eukaryota; Metazoa; Chordata; Lepidosauria; Squamata; Rhineuridae. The transcript has 4 exons.